Cloeon dipterum is the source of this 376-nucleotide long non-coding RNA. RefSeq lists it as uncharacterized. The transcript has 3 exons. The record is from RefSeq and is a predicted model, not a curated record. Lineage: Eukaryota; Metazoa; Arthropoda; Insecta; Ephemeroptera; Baetidae.
AGCAUUUUGUAAACAAUGAAUUAAAAUUACAAUUUAUGUCUUAAUUAGACAGAAGUAACUGACAAAUAGGACCUUUUUGAAACCCCCAUUUAAUAGCAGUCCUAAAUAUGAUUUAAAAAGUUUAAUAUCAGUCCGUUGAAGCAAAGAAAGUGGAAAAUCCUCAACCGUUAAUUGGUCCAGAUGCUAAUGGACAUCAAGAUCAAUUUACUCAGACCACUUGACAAAGUCUCCAACUGGGCAUUGAGUGUGGCCAACAGCCAUUUCCGGGAUUUUUCUAAAAAAAUCGCGCCAGUCGUUUUCUCACAACUCUAAAUGAAUCUGCGAUUUCAAAUUCCGUCGCGAAAAUUUCUUUAGAAAAUUUCGAUUUUUAUUCCGU